GAUGAACGCUGGCGGCGUGCCUAAUACAUGCAAGUCGAGCGAACGGACGAGAAGCUUGCUUUUCUGAUGUUAGCGGCGGACGGGUGAGUAACACGUGGAUAACCUACCUAUAAGACUGGGAUAACUUCGGGAAACCGGAGCUAAUAUCGGAUAAUAUUUUGAACCGCAUGGUUCAAAAGUGAAAGACGGUCUUGCUGUCACUUAUAGAUGGAUCCGCGCUGCAUUAGCUAGUUGGUAAGGUAACGGCUUACCAAGGCAACGAUGCAUAGCCGACCUGAGAGGGUGAUCGGCCACACUGGAACUGAGACACGGUCCAGACUCCUGCGGGAGGCAGCAGUAGGGAAUCUGCCGCAAUGGGCGAAAGCCUGACGGAGCAACGCCGCGUGAGUGAUGAAGGUCUUCGGAUCGUAAAACUCUGUUAUUAGGGAAGAACAUAUGUGUAAGUAACUGUGCACAUCUUGACGGUACCUAAUCAGAAAGCCACGGCUAACUACGUG
Molecule: ribosomal RNA, 497 nt
Filed under: uncultured bacterium
Lineage: Bacteria
Description: partial 16S ribosomal RNA
Rfam family: Bacterial small subunit ribosomal RNA
Source: RNAcentral